This 253-nucleotide ribosomal RNA is filed under the name uncultured bacterium. Its description in RNAcentral is "partial 16S ribosomal RNA". It matches the Rfam family "Bacterial small subunit ribosomal RNA", at positions 524 to 776 of the family's 1533-position model. The record is from RNAcentral.
UACAGAGGGGGCAAGCGUUGUUCGGAAUUACUGGGCGUAAAGGGCGCGUAGGCGGCCUGCUAAGUCGAACGUGAAAUCCCCGGGCUCAACCCGGGAACUGCGUCCGAUACUGGCAGGCUUGAAUCCGGGAGAGGGAUGUGGAAUUCCAGGUGUAGCGGUGAAAUGCGUAGAUAUCUGGAGGAACACCGGUGGCGAAGGCGGCAUCCUGGACCAAUUCUGACGCUGAGGAGCGAAAGCCAGGGGAGCAAACGGG